This 322-nucleotide unclassified non-coding RNA is filed under the name soil metagenome. RNAcentral's name for it is "partial contains 5.8S ribosomal RNA, internal transcribed spacer 2, and large subunit ribosomal RNA". The stretch from base 1 to 120 matches the Rfam family "5.8S ribosomal RNA", at positions 35 to 154 of the family's 154-position model. The record is from RNAcentral.
GAUGAAGAACGCAGCGAAAUGCGAUAAGUAAUGUGAAUUGCAGAAUUCAGUGAAUCAUCGAAUCUUUGAACGCACCUUGCGCCCUUUGGUAUUCCGAAGGGCAUGCCUGUUUGAGUGUCAUGAAACCUCACCCCACUUGGGUUUUUGCCUGAGCGGUGGUGUAUUGGGUGUUGCCUUGCUAAAGGCUCGCCUUAAAGACAUAAGCACCUUGGAUGUAAUACGUUUCAUCCUUCUGGGUGGCUGAUAACCCCAAAUAUUCAUGAUCUGGCCUCAAAUCAGGUAGGGCUACCCGCUGAACUUAAGCAUAUCAAUAAGCGGAGGA